AGCCUGAUCCAGCAUGCCGCGUGUGUGAAGAAGGCCUAUCGGGUUGUAAAGCACUUUUAUCAGGAACGAAAUACCACGGGUUAAUACCCUAUGGGGCUGACGGUACCUGAGGAAUAAGCACCGGCUAACUUCGUGCCAGCAGCCGCGGUAAUACGAAGGGUGCAAGCGUUAAUCGGAAUUACUGGGCGUAAAGGGUGCGUAGGCGGUUAGUUAAGUCUGUCGUGAAAUCCCCGGGCUCAACCUGGGAAUGGCGAUGGAUACUGGCUGGCUAGAGUGUGUCAGAGGAUGGUGGAAUUUCCGGUGUAGCGGUGAAAUGCGUAGAGAUCGGAAGGAACAUCAGUGGCGAAGGCGGCCAUCUGGGACAACACUGACGCUGAAGCACGAAAGCGUGGGGAGCAAACAGGAUUAGAUACCCUGGUAGUCCACGCCCUAAACGAUGCGAACUGGAUGUUGGUCUCAACUCGGAGAUCAGUGUCGAAGCUAACGCGUUAAGUUCGCCGCCUGGGGAGUACGGUCGCAAGACUGAAACUCAAAGGAAUUGACGGGGGCCCGCACAAGCGGUGGAGUAUGUGGUUUAAUUCGAUGCAACGCGAAGAACCUUACCUGGCCUUGACAUGUCCGGAAUCCUGCAG
RNAcentral lists this ribosomal RNA (632 nucleotides) under Rhodanobacter sp. Ri3Pt_4474. RNAcentral describes it as "bacterial SSU rRNA". It matches the Rfam family "Bacterial small subunit ribosomal RNA", at positions 380 to 1003 of the family's 1533-position model. Lineage: Bacteria; Pseudomonadati; Pseudomonadota; Gammaproteobacteria; Lysobacterales; Rhodanobacteraceae. The record is from RNAcentral.